UGCCUAAUGUCUCAGAGGUAAAAGAAUCUGCCUGUAAUGCAGGAUACACAGGUUCAAUCCCUGCUUCAGGAA
Molecule: transfer RNA, 72 nt
Filed under: Bos taurus (domestic cattle)
Lineage: Eukaryota; Metazoa; Chordata; Mammalia; Artiodactyla; Bovidae
Also listed under: 2 other names
Rfam family: tRNA
About the family: Transfer RNA (tRNA) molecules are approximately 80 nucleotides in length.
Source: Rfam by way of RNAcentral